Molecule: non-coding RNA, 46 nt
Organism: Ictidomys tridecemlineatus (thirteen-lined ground squirrel)
Lineage: Eukaryota; Metazoa; Chordata; Mammalia; Rodentia; Sciuridae
Source: Rfam
CCAAAGGCCCUUUUCAGGGCCACCCACUAGAUCUCUUAAGGGCUGU